AGAAUCAACGCUGGCGGCGUGCCUCAGACAUGCAAGUCGAACGCGAAAGUUUCCUUCGGGAAACAAGUAGAGUGGCGCACGGGUGAGUAACACGUAGGUAAUCUACCUUUGGAUGGGGAAUAACAACCGGAAACGGUUGCUAAUACCGCAUAAUGCAGCGGCACCUAAUGGUGACAGUUGUUAAAGCGGGGGAUCGAAAGACCUCGCGUCUAAAGAGGAGCCUGCGGCGGAUUAGCUAGUUGGUAAGGUAACGGCUUACCAAGGCUACGAUCCGUAGCC
RNAcentral lists this ribosomal RNA (279 nucleotides) under uncultured bacterium. RNAcentral describes it as "partial small subunit ribosomal RNA". It matches the Rfam family "Bacterial small subunit ribosomal RNA", at positions 26 to 288 of the family's 1533-position model. The record is from RNAcentral.